CAGCCGCCACGGUAAUACGAAGGGGGCUAGCGUUGCUCGGAAUCACUGGGCGCAAAGGGUGCGUAGGCGGGUCUUUAAGUCAGGGGUGAAAUCCUGGAGCUCAACUCCAGAACUGCCCUUGAUACUGAAGAUCUUGAGUUCGGGAGAGGUGAGUGGAACUGCGAGUGUAGAGGUGAAAUUCGUAGAUAUUCGCAAGAACACCAGUGGCGAAGGCGGCUCACUGGCCCGAUACUGACGCUGAGGCACGAAAGCGUGGGGAGCAAACAGGAUUAGAUACCCGAGUAGUCCCUGUCUCUUAUAC
RNAcentral lists this ribosomal RNA (301 nucleotides) under uncultured bacterium. Its description in RNAcentral is "partial 16S ribosomal RNA". It matches the Rfam family "Bacterial small subunit ribosomal RNA", at positions 509 to 807 of the family's 1533-position model. The record is from RNAcentral.